CGCCCUUCCUACGGGAGGCAGCAGUGGGGAAUAUUGCACAAUGGGCGGAAGCCUGAUGCAGCAACGCCGCGUGGGGGAUGACGGCCUUCGGGUUGUAAACCUCUUUAGCAGGGAAGAAGCGAGAGUNNCGUCNNC
Molecule: ribosomal RNA, 135 nt
Filed under: uncultured bacterium
Lineage: Bacteria
Description: partial 16S ribosomal RNA
Rfam family: Bacterial small subunit ribosomal RNA
Source: RNAcentral